RNAcentral lists this ribosomal RNA (468 nucleotides) under uncultured bacterium. Its description in RNAcentral is "partial 16S ribosomal RNA". It matches the Rfam family "Bacterial small subunit ribosomal RNA", at positions 28 to 507 of the family's 1533-position model. The record is from RNAcentral.
GACGAACGCUGGCGGCGUGCUUAACACAUGCAAGUCGAACGGAAAGGCCCUGCUUUUGUGGGGUGCUCGAGUGGCGAACGGGUGAGUAACACGUGAGUAACCUGCCCUUGACUUUGGGAUAACUUCAGGAAACUGGGGCUAAUACCAGAUAGGAGCUCCUGCUGCAUGGUGGGGGUUGGAAAGUUUCGGCGGUUGGGGAUGGACUCGCGGCUUAUCAGCUUGUUGGUGGGGUAGUGGCUUACCAAGGCUUUGACGGGUAGCCGGCCUGAGAGGGUGACCGGCCACAUUGGGACUGAGAUACGGCCUAGACUCCUACGGGAGGCAGCAGUGGGGAAUAUUGCACAAUGGGCGGAAGCCUGAUGCAGCAACGCCGCGUGCGGGAUGACGGCCUUCGGGUUGUAAACCGCUUUCGCCUGUGACGAAGCGUGAGUGACGGUAAUGGGUAAAGAAGCACCGGCUAACUACGUG